Molecule: long non-coding RNA, 666 nt
Organism: Triticum aestivum (bread wheat)
Lineage: Eukaryota; Viridiplantae; Streptophyta; Magnoliopsida; Poales; Poaceae
Exons: 2
Source: RefSeq, a predicted model, not a curated record
UGAGCCCUGCGCGGACAAGAGAAAAAGCAGGGGAAACAGCUGACAGCCAUUGCUCAUUUGCUCCCUCCCCUCCUUUUGCCUCUCUGCCACUGCCUUCUCUGCUCCGCGCGCCUUCUCUCUCUCCUCUUCAUUCAAAACCAAACGGAGUGGGCUGCUCUGCUCUCUGCUUAGCCUUAACUCUGCUUCCUUUCUUUUCUUUGGGAGACACGCAGCCCCACCCCUUGCCUUGCCGGCUUGCUUUGCUCCCUCCCUUCUUCCUCGCUCCCUCCCUCCCCUCAAAGAGCACCACCGGCUACAACACUCUAGCUCCCAACCAAGCGAGCAAUGGACGCGGAUGGGGCCGACCAACCUCCCCCCAGGCCUCCAUGGCCUCCUCGGAAGCACCAGGUGGACGCGGAGGAGAAGGUGCCAGGUCCACGUUGAUCACUCGGAGGAGCCGGGCGCCCGCCGGUGGUGAAGCCCUGCUCGAUCGCGGGGCGAGGGGGGGAGGAGAAGUCGGGAAUGAAGCCGUAUUGGUCCGGGAGCGUAUACAUAGUACUCAUAUUCUUUUGCGUAACGUCAGAAGACAAUUACUACCAUCCAGAUGGUAUACGUUUCAGUUUUCAGGUAGAGGUGUAAUCAGUAACUGGCCAGCUAAGCCUUGCCUAUUCUUUGAAUUUCUAUCUA